CGUCGAGCAGGUACGAAAGUAGGUCUUAGUGAUCCGGUGGUUCUGUAUGGAAGGGCCAUCGCUCAACGGAUAAAAGGUACUCCGGGGAUAACAGGCUGAUACCGCCCAAGAGUUCAUAUCGACGGCGGUGUUUGGCACCUCGAUGUCGGCUCAUCACAUCCUGGGGCUGAAGCCGGUCCCAAGGGUAUGGCUGUUCGCCAUUUAAAGUGGUACGCGAGCUGGGUUUAGAACGUCGUGAGACAGUUCGGUCCCUAUCUGCCGUGGACGUUUGAGAUUUGAGAGGGGCUGCUCCUAGUACGAGAGGACCGGAGUGGACGAACCUCUGGUGUUCCGGUUGUCACGCCAGUGGCAUUGCCGGGUAGCUAUGUUCGGAAAAGAUAACCGCUGAAAGCAUCUAAGCGGGAAACUUGCCUCAAGAUGAGAUCUCACUGGGAACUUGAUUCCCCUGAAGGGCCGUCGAAGACUACGACGUUGAUAGGCUGGGUGUGUAAGCGUUGUGAGGCGUUGAGCUAACCAGUACUAAUUGCCCGUGAGGCUUGACCAU
This 544-nucleotide ribosomal RNA is filed under the name Pseudomonas aeruginosa. RNAcentral describes it as "partial 23S ribosomal RNA". It matches the Rfam family "Bacterial large subunit ribosomal RNA", at positions 2387 to 2925 of the family's 2925-position model. Lineage: Bacteria; Pseudomonadati; Pseudomonadota; Gammaproteobacteria; Pseudomonadales; Pseudomonadaceae. The record is from RNAcentral.